CAAGUCGAACGAACUCUGGUAUUGAUUGGUGCUUGCAUCAUGAUUUACAUUUGAGUGAGUGGCGAACUGGUGAGUAACACGUGGGAAACCUGCCCAGAAGCGGGGGAUAACACCUGGAAACAGAUGCUAAUACCGCAUAACAACUUGGACCGCAUGGUCCGAGUUUGAAAGAUGGCUUCGGCUAUCACUUUUGGAUGGUCCCGCGGCGUAUUAGCUAGAUGGUGGGGUAACGGCUCACCAUGGCAAUGAUACGUAGCCGACCUGAGAGGGUAAUCGGCCACAUUGGGACUGAGACACGGCCCAAACUCCUACGGGAGGCAGCAGUAGGGAAUCUUCCACAAUGGACGAAAGUCUGAUGGAGCAACGCCGCGUGAGUGAAGAAGGGUUUCGGCUCGUAAAACUCUGUUGUUAAAGAAGAACAUAUCUGAGAGUAACUGUUCAGGUAUUGACGGUAUUUAACCAGAAAGCCACGGCUAACUACGUGCCAGCAGCCGCGGUAAUACGUAGGUGGCAAGCGUUGUCCGGAUUUAUUGGGCGUAAAGCGAGCGCAGGCGGUUUUUUAAGUCUGAUGUGAAAGCCUUCGGCUCAACCGAAGAAGUGCAUCGGAAACUGGGAAACUUGAGUGCAGAAGAGGACAGUGGAACUCCAUGUGUAGCGGUGAAAUGCGUAGAUAUAUGGAAGAACACCAGUGGCGAAGGCGGCUGUCUGGUCUGUAACUGACGCUGAGGCUCGAAAGUAUGGGUAGCAAACAGGAUUAGAUACCCUGGUAGUCCAUACCGUAAACGAUGAAUGCUAAGUGUUGGAGGGUUUCCGCCCUUCAGUGCUGCAGCUAACGCAUUAAGCAUUCCGCCUGGGGAGUACGGCCGCAAGGCUGAAACUCAAAGGAAUUGACGGGGGCCCGCACAAGCGGUGGAGCAUGUGGUUUAAUUCGAAGCUACGCGAAGAACCUUACCAGGUCUUGACAUACUAUGCAAAUCUAAGAGAUUAGACGUUCCCUUCGGGGACAUGGAUACAGGUGGUGCAUGGUUGUCGUCAGCUCGUGUCGUGAGAUGUUGGGUUAAGUCCCGCAACGAGCGCAACCCUUAUUAUCAGUUGCCAGCAUUAAGUUGGGCACUCUGGUGAGACUGCCGGUGACAAACCGGAGGAAGGUGGGGAUGACGUCAAAUCAUCAUGCCCCUUAUGACCUGGGCUACACACGUGCUACAAUGGAUGGUACAACGAGUUGCGAACUCGCGAGAGUAAGCUAAUCUCUUAAAGCCAUUCUCAGUUCGGAUUGUAGGCUGCAACUCGCCUACAUGAAGUCGGAAUCGCUAGUAAUCGCGGAUCAGCAUGCCGCGGUGAAUACGUUCCCGGGCCUUGUACACACCGCCCGUCACACCAUGAGAGUUUGUAACACCCAAAGUCGGUGGGGUAA
RNAcentral lists this ribosomal RNA (1414 nucleotides) under Lactiplantibacillus plantarum. RNAcentral's name for it is "bacterial SSU rRNA". It matches the Rfam family "Bacterial small subunit ribosomal RNA". Lineage: Bacteria; Bacillati; Bacillota; Bacilli; Lactobacillales; Lactobacillaceae. The record is from RNAcentral. RNAcentral also lists the same sequence under 1 other name.